This 441-nucleotide ribosomal RNA is filed under the name uncultured bacterium. RNAcentral's name for it is "partial 16S ribosomal RNA". It matches the Rfam family "Bacterial small subunit ribosomal RNA", at positions 338 to 795 of the family's 1533-position model. The record is from RNAcentral.
CCUACGGGUGGCAGCAGUGGGGAAUAUUGCACAAUGGGGGAAACCCUGAUGCAGCAACGCCGCGUGAGUGAAGAAGUAUUUCGGUAUGUAAAGCGCUAUCAGCAGGGAAGAAGAAAGACGGUACCUGAUGAUGAAGCCCCGGCUAACUACGUGCCAGCAGCCGCGGUAAUCCGCAGGGGGCCAGCGUUAGUCGGAUAUAGUUGGUGUAAAUGGUGCGGAGAUGGUUGGGCUAGUCUUAAGUGAAAGUCCGUGGCUCAACCGCGGAACUGCUUUGGAAACUGUAUAGCUUGAGUACUGGGGAGGCAGGCGGAAUUCCUAGUGAAGCGGUGAAAUGCGUAGAUAUUAGGAGGAACACCAGUGGCGAAGGCGGCCUACUGGACAUAAACUGACGUUGAGGCUCGAAAGCGUGGGGAGCAAACAGGAUUAGAUACCCCUGUAGUC